RNAcentral lists this ribosomal RNA (1485 nucleotides) under uncultured bacterium. RNAcentral's name for it is "bacterial SSU rRNA". It matches the Rfam family "Bacterial small subunit ribosomal RNA". The record is from RNAcentral.
GAUAAACGCUAGCGGUGCGCCUAACACAUGCAAGUCGAGCGAUCGAACUGGACUGAUCACCCUUCGGGGUGAGAGGACCAGUGACGGAGCGGCGGACUGGUGAGUAACGCGUAGCCAACCUACCCCCUUGACGGAGAUAACUACCUGAAAGGGUAGCUAAUACCCGAUAUUGCUCGAGAUCGAAAGAUCUUGAGCCAAAGGCGGUCUUGCCGUCGCAAGAGGAGGGGGCUGCGUCCUAUUAGCUUGUUGGUGGGGUAAUGGCCCACCAAGGCGAUGAUGGGUAGCUGGUCUGAGAGGAUGGCCAGCCACAUUGGGACUGAGAUACGGCCCAGACUUCUACGGGAGGCAGCAGUGGGGAAUCUUUCGCAAUGGGCGAAAGCCUGACGGAGCGACACCGCGUGGGGGAUGAAGGCUUUCGGGUUGUAAACCUCUUUUCUGGGGGAAGAAUAAGGGCGGGAGGAAAUGCCCGUCCGAUGACGGUACCCCAGGAAUAAGCAUCGGCUAACUUCGUGCCAGCGGCCGCGGUAAGACGAAGGAUGCAAGCGUUAUCCGGAAUUACUGGGCGUAAAGGGCGCCUAGGCGGCUGAGUAAGUCACCCGUGAAAGCCCUCAGCUCAACUGAGGAAUGUCGAGUGAAACUGCCCAGCUUGGGUGCAGGAGAGGAGGGUGGAACUCACAGAGUAGCGGUGGAAUGCGUAGAUACUGUGAGGUACCCCGAUGGCGAAGGCAACCCUCUGGCUGCUACCGACGCUGAAGCGCGAAAGCGUGGGGAGCAAAGGGGAUUAGAUACCCCGUAGUCCACGCCGCAAACGAUGUUCACUGGGUGUCGGUCGCUAAUACAGAUCGGUGCCGGAGCUAACGCGUUAAGUGAACCGCCUGGGGAGUACGGCCGCAAGGCUAAAACUCAAGAGAAUUGACGGGGCCCCGCACAAGCGGUGGAGCACGUGGUUUAAUUCGAUGAUAAGCGAAGAACCUCACCUGGGUUUGACAUGCUAGUGGUAGGAACCGGAAACGGGGACGACCCUUGCCUUCGGGUAAGGGAGCUAGUACAGGUGAUGCAUGGCUGUCGUCAGUUCGUGUCGUGGGACGUUGGGUUAAGUCCCGAAACGAGCGCAACCCCUGUCGUCAGUUGCCAGCGGGUAAAGCCGGGGACUCUGACGAGACUGCCGGUGAAUAGCCGGAGGAAGGAGGGGAUGACGUCAAGUCAUCAUGUCCCUUAUGCCCAGGGCGACACACAUGCUACAAUGGGGGGUACAAAGGGCUGCAAUGCCGUAAGGCUGAGCCAAUCCCAAAAAACCUUCCUCAGUUCGGAUUGAGGUCUGUAACUCGACCUCAUGAAGCCGGAAUCGCUAGUAAUCGCAGGUCAGCCACACUGCGGUGAAUAUGUACUCGGGGCUUGUACACACCGCCCGUCACACCAACCGAGUGGGGGGUACUUAAAGUCGCUCUUUAUAGAGCGCCAAGGGUAACCUCCGCAAGAGGGGUG